RNA transcript from Hemicordylus capensis (graceful crag lizard), 1586 nucleotides. It is a transcript of the gene named myristoylated alanine-rich C-kinase substrate-like, with no coding region annotated. Lineage: Eukaryota; Metazoa; Chordata; Lepidosauria; Squamata; Cordylidae. The record is from RefSeq and is a predicted model, not a curated record. The transcript is spliced from 2 exons.
AGACAAAACAACAACAACAACAACUGGGGGACCUAAGUUGAGCAGGCCUGGCCUAGGCCCACAGCAUUACACUCCUGAAAUAUUGGCUUCUGUAGGGGUGACUGAGAUAAAUCACACAAGACCACAAAUAUAUUUUCAUGAAGCUUUCUCUAACAUUUAGAAAAAACAUGUGUGUUCUCUCUCUCUCUCUCUCUCUCUGCCUACUCUGGAUUUGCUUUUCCUGAAACUUCAGCAUGUUUCCUUUCAGAAAUAUUGGCUGACAUCCAACUAAGGCACUACUUGUUCUGCUAACAUGCUGAAUCUGGGGGAAGAGGUGAUCUUUUAAAAUUAUAUUUUUUAAAUUAUUCUUGAAGAGGCCAUUUGAGCAUGUGCGGUGGCCAUUUUGUUUUCAGUAGCCAGUUUUUUUAAAAAAAAUUAUUUCUAAAAACGGCCACCGCACAUGCUCAAAUGGUCCCUGUGAGGUCCUAAAGGCCAGCGGCGGGAGGGGGAACCUUUUCAGACUCCCCACACAUGGCCUUUAGGAUGCCCUCCCAAAGAGGCUACAGCUGUCAAGAGGCAGAAGGAGGGAGCUGAAUCUGAAAAAUCAGAUCUAACUUGGUCAGAAACCUCAUUCGUACCAGUAUCAAAUCCAGAAGGAACUAGAGAGUCCCUCAAGAUGGACGACGAUGAAUCUUCAUUAUUAAACAAAGCCUCUAGAAAGCCUCCUACUUGUCCUUGAAUAGCAACCACAGAAUUGUUGGCUGUGGGCAAGUAUAUCCCAAUUUCAAUGUUAUUAUUUGGUGCUUCCAUUUUGUAAAUGACAGAGUCUAAUUUAGGGUUAGUCAGAAACAGUUCUCCCUGGUGUGAUGUCUGCCAGAGGAACAAACGUAUUUGAAGUUUCAAAGGAAUCCAAAAAACUUACUAAUUCCUGGAUAUUCAAAGAUUUGUGGAUUUUUGCUUGCUUCGAUGUUUUCGCUCCCUUCUGCGGACCCUCUGGGCUGUUUCUCAGGCGCUUCUUGUUUCCCAUUCCUGGAUGUAGAUACUACUAAUAAUAACAACAAUAAAACGUGGACACUUCCACUAAUCAGUAACACGGAUGGAAGUAGAAAUCACACUCCUUUAGAAGUUCAUAGAAGGAGAAGGCAGAUCCAAAAGCAAAAAGCAAAACUCCCAUCAAGUACCUAACCAAGGAAAUGCCAAUAACCUUGAAAAACUAGAGAAGAAAAGCAAAUUAACACCAUUUAAAACAGAGCUGGUUGCUCCAGCUGCUGCCUUGGCUGCUCAGCCUCAGUGGUUCUUGAGUAUGUAUUCUCAAAGCACACAAGGUAGCAACUUGGAUAGGUCAACGAGAAAGUUCUUCCCACCCACGUAGGCCCCGAUCCAACACAGUUCAGCAUGCAAAAGCCUGCCCAUUUCAAUGGUUUCUGAGCUCACUGAAUUCUGUGCCAGACUGUGCAGCGAGUGUGAUGCUGUUGAGAUCCAUGGAGUAACUCAAAGCAUUGGGUGGUUGGAUGUUUGAUCUAACAUGGUAGUGCUCUUUUAAUAAUCAAAGAAGCUUCACUGUUUCACUGUCUCUAAUGGAGCAGUUCAGCUUUCUGGUAACUAAU